This 1130-nucleotide long non-coding RNA is filed under the name Mus spicilegus (steppe mouse). Its description in RNAcentral is "lncRNA (ENSMSIG00000000931.1)". Lineage: Eukaryota; Metazoa; Chordata; Mammalia; Rodentia; Muridae. The record is from RNAcentral.
GUUUUAGAAUAGAUAAGUGAGAUUUGGCUAAAAAAAUGAUUAGAAAGUUUUUCAUAACUGAUUACUGAUGCUUAUUUCCACAGAGUAUUUGUAAGCAAAUUCCAGAACAGGAUGUUGGCUAUUUAUCAAUAGCUAAACAUCAAAGUGGAGAAAAAAUGGUGACAUCUCGGGAAAAAGCGUUUUCGAAGGAAUGCCCUCAAUCAAAGCCCACCAUUGUAGAGGAAGAGUCUGUUUCAAAGGAGGCCUGGGAUAUGACUCCGGUGAAAUCAUUUUUAGAAGAUACUUCUAACGACUAUCCUCUAUCAAAGCCUACAGUUGAGAAAAAUGACUAUGUUCCAAAUGAAGUCUCUGAUAUAAAGCAUGGGAAAUGGUUCCAAGAAAACUGUCCUAAGGAAUAUGUUCAAUUGAAGCUUCCCAUUGAAGAGAGAGAUUCUUUUCCAAGAGAAGCACCACCAGUUGAUCAGGCAAAAUUACACCGUGCAGAUGAGCCUACAUCUGUAAAGAAUCCUAGCAGAAUUACAAGAUGUGUAAGACAAAAUGCAGCAGCAUCUGUAAAAGUGACGUCAGUGGAAGAUCAAAAAUGCCCCGAUGACCAUGAGAAGGAUCAGAGAGUGGCUGCGUUCAAACGACCUCAAACAAAGGACACUGAAUAUUUAUCCAUGGCUAAUUAUGAAAGUAGAGAAAAUUUUGCCGAAGACCAAGAGGAAGAUCCCCCAGAACAACAACCUCAGUGGAAGCCUGCACUUGAAGAUGCUUCCCCAAACAAGGCAUCAGCAGCGAAGCCUGUGGAACCCUUGCUCACAGCAGAACCAAUUACAAACAUAUCAGAAGGAAAACAAGAAUGGUGUGAUAGCAGAAAUACGCAAAGACAGGUACAUGCAUAUUUGAAUUAAAACCUUUAAAGAGCAUUUUCUUUGGUAAACAAUGUACCAGGAAUCAUAUGAAAGUACCAUUCUCCUUGUCCUGGAGAACCAGUGGAUUAUUAUUUAAUUUUCAGUUUUAACACUCUCCUAAGUACUUAAGGAGACUGGUAUAAGUUAAGUUAAAGUAUACUUUUAGAUUCUUAAAAUGUUUUUUUUAUGAUUUUUUUAUAUUAAAAUAGUUAUACCAUACUUGAGACUUAUUAUUAA